UAUAUGUAGUCUAAAUAAACUUUGAGUAGUUCAAAUUUACAACCGUAUCAUUUGUAUAACGAAAAUCGCUCUUGCAUUUUGAGCUAUUAUAUUUUGUUUAAUAUAAUGCCUAUAUGUAUACGUUCUUAUCACGAUUCUAAUUCAAACUUUCCAGAAAUUUGAAAGAUUCUCUUUUCGAGUUAUUCCCACGUCACAAGUUUGUGGUUUAAAAACAAAAUUUCGUUUUUAUGCCAUUUGGAUCUUAUGCCAUUUGAGACGUUAUCUCACCAACAUAAUUAUGCUGAUUCAUCUAUAACGUCAGAUUGCACUUUACUACAAUUUUAUUACAUGAGAUUCCUCUGCUCGGUUACAUUUGGCUGUAACACAUUUCUUGUGUUGUAAUUCUAUACCGUUUUCUUCACGCGCUUUAUGUGCUGAAAACAUGACAAGUCACACUCGGUCAUCUCCUGGAGAGAAGAAGAAUUCAAAAGAUGCUCACGCUGAAACGAAUAACAAUUUAUCCGAAACCAAUUACGAGCAUCCGAAAGUUUCGGAUGUUGCGGCAAUCGAUUACCGAUCCGGUCAUUUCAAAAUAAAGAAAAUAGGAGAGAGGUUUCCGCACCGAAAUUUACUCGUUUUUCGGGGUCUGUUAGUGACUAUGUCCUUGCUACUUUUGAUUGGAAUCGCUAUUUUUGGCUUUGUAUCUCUUUCGUUUGAAUUGAACGAAAACUACAGAGAAGCUGCUUCAACGAAAAUUGCAUAGCAGCUGAGAACAUCAGAGCUUCCUAAUUAUAUAUUUUUUGCACUGUGAGUUCUGUCAAUAAUCUGAAGUAUUUAAGUUUGUAAUUUAUGUUCUUUGAAAUUUA
Long non-coding RNA from Symsagittifera roscoffensis, 845 nucleotides. RefSeq lists it as uncharacterized. The transcript is spliced from 2 exons. The record is from RefSeq and is a predicted model, not a curated record. Lineage: Eukaryota; Metazoa; Xenacoelomorpha; Acoela; Convolutidae.